UACGUAGGGACCAAGCGUUGUUCGGAUUUACUGGGCGUAAAGGGCGCGUAGGCGGUACGGUAAGUCACUUGUGAAAUCUCUGAGCUUAACUCAGAACGGCCAAGUGAUACUGCAGUACUAGAGUGCAGAAGGGGCAAUCAGAAUUCUUGGUGUAGCGGUGAAAUGCGUAGAUAUCAAGAGGAAUACCUGAGGUGAAGACGGGUUGCUAGGCUGACACUGACGCUGAGUGCGCGAAAGCCAGGGGAGCAAACGGG
Molecule: ribosomal RNA, 254 nt
Filed under: uncultured bacterium
Lineage: Bacteria
Description: partial 16S ribosomal RNA
Rfam family: Bacterial small subunit ribosomal RNA
Source: RNAcentral